GUAGAGACAUGUGCGUGGUCUCUGCAAACACUGUGGCCAGCGGAGUGUUGAUCCGUGAGAGGAAAAUGGAAGUCUGGUUCAACGUGACUCAGUAGCCAGUAUGGGUUCAAAUUCAGAGUCUGACACCAGGAAAGGAAUUCUGUAGCAUCUUGAUUUUAUCUACUGGACUGAAAGUUAUAGUCUAGGGGUCAAGAGAAAAUAGUUCUGUGUGAAGUUCCAGAUGUAUGAACGAACAGGAAAUAGACAAGGAUGACUGACGCUCAUCCUGACUCAGAGCUCAUGGACCUGUGCAUUGGGUGUGUAUAAAUCCCAUGACUCAUCUGCUUGCACUUCCACAUCUAAGAAGACCAAGGCUGUGAGCCUGAAACGCUUGCCUGUAAACAUCUGUCUUGUUACUAGCCUGGGAUUCAAACACUGGGCACUGGAAUCUGGUUAUCAAUCUAACACACCAUUUUACCCCAAUAUGAUGAACUUAGAGGAUAUUAGAAAGACUCCAAUUCUAAAAUAAUGCAUCUACAAACACAUAAAGUACAGAGAAACGUUUGUCUUUUA
Molecule: long non-coding RNA, 552 nt
Organism: Psammomys obesus (fat sand rat)
Lineage: Eukaryota; Metazoa; Chordata; Mammalia; Rodentia; Muridae
Exons: 2
Source: RefSeq, a predicted model, not a curated record